GUCUCAACGAGGCUCGGUCUCUGCUCCAUGGGCCCCUCAUCCCCACAUCCAGGCUGAGGGGCAGCCCUCACCAGGACAGGCCAAAAAGCUGGGCCUGGAACACACACUCCUGGUGAUUCUGGACCACAUCUUGAACACCGCUGCCUGGAGUAGUUUUAAAAGGCCAGUGUGCAGGAUUAAACAUUGUUCCUGGCAGAUGAAUAAUUCCAUGGUACAUCUAAGACCUCCAAAGACGGGCUUCCAUGUGCCCUGGCCCGACGCUGGCAACAACAGCCCUGGAUGAUCUGGAAGAACUCUUGUUCGGGGAGUGACUGAGCAGGCCCGGGGGACCCUCUCCAAGGACCCCAAAGCAAGCUUUUCUCCUGGAGUAAUUAACUCAUCAAUAUUGGAAGUGCAGCAAACAUUUUCUCCCAAUCGGUCAUUUGUGUUGUAACCAUGAUGUUUUCCAUCAUACACAAACUUUCAAUAUUUUGGGGUGGUAAAAUCUGUUUAUCUUUUCCCUUAUUAGAUCUUUUAGGUUUCGUGUUAUGUUUAAAACAGAGCCUCCCACACCAGAGAUAUAAUAAUCUCCUGUAUUUCCUUCA
This is a non-coding RNA of Leptonychotes weddellii (Weddell seal), 584 nucleotides long. NCBI's taxonomy places the organism in Eukaryota, Metazoa, Chordata, Mammalia, Carnivora, Phocidae. The record is from RefSeq and is a predicted model, not a curated record.